CUCGGCUACGCGUAGCAAAGGUGCCUUAUCCAAAGUCAACCCGGAGUUCGUUCUAGUCUUUGCUGCAAAAGAGUAGGUCCCGCCUCGGGGAGCCUCGCGGCUCAGUUGUCUUUUAUGUUGCUGUCAGACAACAUCUUUGAUGAAUGGUUGUAGUCUUUGAUGAAUGGUUCUCAAGGAAGGCUGAGGAACGCAUUCUGGACUCCAGAGAAGGUGUAAGGCGGUUUGUGUUGGAGAUUAUAUACCACUGUUGAAAAGCAACAAUACGUGGUCGUGAAUUGAUACUGUGAUCAUAUGCAAAGGUCCCUUUGGACGGAAAGACGAGAUCUAUGACAUUAUGUGUGAAUAUCAGUAAUCAAGGACGACUUAAUAUUUGUGAGAUUUUUUUAUAGACUUUUCUUUUGUGUGCAUACUAUGGUGAUUAUGAAAGUGGAUCACUCUCCAGCUGAGAUUAAAAAACAAAAACACAGUGCAGCGUUAUCUGGCUUAGUAUGUGUUAGUUUGAUUAUCUGACUGCCAGUCACUAUAUGUGCCUGAAUAAUUGUGACUAUGUUAGGAUAGUGAGUUUCAUUAUUUCCACAGUUUCAUUAUCUAUAAAAUAGAGUAGUGUUAUUACAUCUUCUUGGAGUAUCAGAUUUAAGAUGCAGAAAAAUAUUUGCAAUUUAUCUGCCAAAUGAUUUUAAAAUGAUAUUUUAUCAUGAAUCAAUGCUGUUUUAUCGGAAAGAAUGCAAAUCGACAUUUUAAAAGAAAGAAGUAAUCAAAGUAACAUCCAGUCAUGGAGUGGCUGCUGUAGGUUUCCGAUCUUCUGUAACGUUCAGGAUACUUAACCAGAUAACUUUGAAAACCCUAGACUAAGGAAAUAAUUUCCUGCUUACGGAAGCAGGUAGAUUAGAGCAGAGUCCAGAAUUAGGGAAUCGGAUGUCCUAGUUUAUAGGUCACGCAAGGCAAGGAACCUGUUUGAGACUGCAUAGUCUAUCAGAACACUACUUGUCUUAUUCAAAAAGUGAUAAUUACAUUUUGUCAUAUUCUGAGUAAACAAAAACCAGGCUACCAUAUCCUGAACAGUGCCUGAUUCCUCUGUUGCAGUUGGCAAUUUUGAACCUAAAUAUUUGUAUUUAUUCUGACAUUUCUGACACUUUUUCUUCAGAUCUGAAAUGGUAGAUAAAAAUAGAUGAAGAGCUAAUGGAUGUAGUAUUAGAGAAGAAGAUAAAAUUCCUUUUCUAUCACAAUUUCAGAAGAAACUCCCUAAUGUUCCUGGGGGGGAAAAAAGGUUUUUUUCCUGACCUUUUUUGUUGUUGUUUCUCCUCCAAAAGUCUCUCUUUUGCUUCAUCCUAACUAGUUUCAUCACAAGUAAAAAUCCUUGAAAUUCCCUGUCAUAAAACAUAGUUACAUUGGUUUCACUAAUAUCAUUGUAGUAACAAAUCUGGAAAUGAGACAUGCCCAUCAAAAGUAGGAUGGAUAAUUAGGUGUGGAAUACUUUUACACUGGAAUAGUACACAGCAGCGAAAAUUACUGAAUCUAACAUAUGAUGAGCAAUGAGCCAUAGAAAUAUAUAUACAGUGUUCCAUUCAUAAAAUUUUAGAAAGAAGCAAAAUAAAUGAUACUUUGUGCUUAAGUGGAAGGUAACGGAAAACAAGGAUGUGGUAAAUAAAAUUCAGGAAUGUGGUAAGUUCAGAGAGGAGGAAACAUGAAAAGAUACGUUUGCAAAGGGAUUCAAAGUUAUUUCAUGACCCCACUGGCUGCUCUGAAAAGCUGUCUUUGCAUUGUUCCCGUGUCCAGCUCCCGUGUCCAGCUCUGCCUCCUCCACCACCAAACACUCGGCAACUUUACUGCCAGAGUCCUCCGACUCUUGCUUUCUUUUUAAUCUGCUGCAUCGGAUCACCUGUGUGCCAGGUCAUGUCAGAGACAGCCGUGGACACCAGCUCCGAGAUCACCACCAAGGACUUACAGGAGAAUUGUGGAGGAGGCAGAGAAUGGAAGAGACACACCUUCUAAUGGAAAAGCUCAUGAGGAAAAUGGGGAGCCAACAAGAUGAAGAAGAGGUAAAAGGGGGCGGGAGGAAGAGGAGGAGGAAUAGGAAGGUGAUGGCGAGGACGAGGAUGGAGAGGAAGAUGGGGAGGCUUAGGCAGCUACGAACACACAAGCAAUAGAUGAUGAAGAUGAUGAUGUCGACACCAAGAAACAGAAGACCUAUGAGGAUGACUGGACAGCAAAAAAGGAAAAGUUAAAUUUAACAACAACAAAGGCUACCAUAACCUAUUCACCGCGCCCCCCAUCUCAGAUUCUAAACGUGAUCACUUUCAAGGGGAGAGUCCCACCCACCCAUGCCCCACGUGGGCAGUGCCACC
Ailuropoda melanoleuca (giant panda) is the source of this 2345-nucleotide long non-coding RNA. RefSeq lists it as uncharacterized. The transcript has 2 exons. NCBI's taxonomy places the organism in Eukaryota, Metazoa, Chordata, Mammalia, Carnivora, Ursidae. The record is from RefSeq and is a predicted model, not a curated record.